Molecule: ribosomal RNA, 386 nt
Filed under: uncultured bacterium
Lineage: Bacteria
Description: bacterial SSU rRNA
Rfam family: Bacterial small subunit ribosomal RNA
Source: RNAcentral
GGAGGAUCCGAGCGUUAUCCGGAUUUAUUGGGUUUAAAGGGAGCGUAGGUGGACUGGUAAGUCAGUUGUGAAAGUUUGCGGCUCAACCGUAAAAUUGCAGUUGAUACUGUCAGUCUUGAGUACAGUAGAGGUGGGCGGAAUUCGUGGUGUAGCGGUGAAAUGCUUAGAUAUCACGAAGAACUCCGAUUGCGAAGGCAGCUCACUGGACUGCAACUGACACUGAUGCUCGAAAGUGUGGGUAUCAAACAGGAUUAGAUACCCUGGUAGUCCACGCAGUAAACGAUGAUCACUAGCUGUUUGCGAUACAGUGUAAGCGGCACAGCGAAAGCGUUAAGUGAUCCACCUGGGGAGUACGCCGGCAACGGUGAAACUCAAAGGAAUUGACG